GAUGAACGCUGGCGGCGUGCUUAACACAUGCAAGUCGAACGAAGCACCUUGAUUCGAUUCUUCGGAUGAAGAUCUUGGUGACUGAGUGGCGGACGGGUGAGUAACGCGUGGGUAACCUGCCUCAUACCGGGGGAUAACAGUUAGAAAUGACUGCUAAUACCGCAUAAGACCACCGCUCCGCAUGGUGCAGGGGUAAAACCUCCGGUGGUAUGGGAUGGACCCGCGUCUGAUUAGGUAGUUGGUGGGGUAACGGCCUACCAAGCCGAGGAUCAGUAGCCGACCUGAGAGGGUGACCGGCCACAUUGGGACUGAGACACGGCCCAGACUCCUACGGGAGGCAGCAGUGGGGAAUAUUGCACAAUGGGGGAAACCCUGAUGCAGCGACGCCGCGUGAGCGAUGAAGUAUUUCGGUAUGUAAAGCGCUAUCAGCAGGGAAGAAAAUGACGGUACCUGACUAAGAAGCACCGGCUAAAUACGUG
Molecule: ribosomal RNA, 479 nt
Filed under: uncultured bacterium
Lineage: Bacteria
Description: partial 16S ribosomal RNA
Rfam family: Bacterial small subunit ribosomal RNA
Source: RNAcentral